This 274-nucleotide ribosomal RNA is filed under the name uncultured bacterium. RNAcentral's name for it is "partial 16S ribosomal RNA". It matches the Rfam family "Bacterial small subunit ribosomal RNA", at positions 523 to 796 of the family's 1533-position model. The record is from RNAcentral.
AUACGGAGGGUGCAAGCGUUACUCGGAAUCACUGGGCGUAAAGCGCGCGCAGGCGGCUAUUUAAGUUGGAUGUGAAAGCCUACGGCUCAACCGUAGAACUGCAUCCAAAACUAUUUAGCUAGAGUGUGGGAGAGGAAGAUGGAAUUAGUUGUGUAGGGGUAAAAUCCGUAGAGAUACCUAGGAAUACCAAAAGCGAAGGCAAUCUUCUGGAACACUACUGACGCUGAGGCGCGAAAGCGUGGGGAGCAAACGGGAUUAGAAACCCUAGUAGUCC